Molecule: transfer RNA, 75 nt
Filed under: Chloroflexota bacterium
Lineage: Bacteria; Bacillati; Chloroflexota
Also listed under: 2 other names
Description: Chloroflexi bacterium tRNA-Thr
Rfam family: tRNA
About the family: Transfer RNA (tRNA) molecules are approximately 80 nucleotides in length. Their secondary structure includes four short double-helical elements and three loops (D, anti-codon, and T loops). Further hydrogen bonds mediate the characteristic L-shaped molecular structure. tRNAs have two regions of fundamental functional importance: the anti-codon, which is responsible for specific mRNA codon recognition, and the 3' end, to which the tRNAs corresponding amino acid is attached (by aminoacyl-tRNA synthetases). tRNAs cope with the degeneracy of the genetic code in two manners: having more than one tRNA (with a specific anti-codon) for a particular amino acid; and 'wobble' base-pairing, i.e. permitting non-standard base-pairing at the 3rd anti-codon position.
Source: RNAcentral
GCCGAAGUAGCUCAGUGGUAGAGCAGCUGUUUUGUAAACAGCCGGUCGUCAGUUCGAUCCUGACCUUCGGCUCCA